This 440-nucleotide ribosomal RNA is filed under the name uncultured bacterium. RNAcentral's name for it is "partial 16S ribosomal RNA". It matches the Rfam family "Bacterial small subunit ribosomal RNA", at positions 338 to 795 of the family's 1533-position model. The record is from RNAcentral.
CCUACGGGGGGCAGCAGUGGGGAAUAUUGCACAAUGGGGGAAACCCUGAUGCAGCGACGCCGCGUGAGUGAAGAAGUAUUUCGGUAUGUAAAGCUCUAUCAGCAGGGAAGAUAAUGACGGUACCUGAGUAAGAAGCCCCGGCUAACUACGUGCCAGCAGCCGCGGUAAUACGUAGGGGGCAAGCGUUAUCCGGAUUUACUGGGUGUAAAGGGAGCGUAGACGGCAGGACAAGUCUGGAGUGAAAUCCCGGGGCUUAACCCCGGAACUGCUUUGGAAACUGUGCGGCUGGAGUGCAGGAGGGGUAAGCGGAAUUCCGAGUGUAGCGGUGAAAUACGUAGAUAUUAGGAGGAACACCGGUGGCGAAGGCGGCUUACUGGACUGUAACUGACGUUGAGGCUCGAAAGCGUGGGGAGCAAACAGGAUUAGAUACCCCAGUAGUC